AGAGUUUGAUCAUGGCUCAGAUUGAACGCUGGCGGCAGGCCUAACACAUGCAAGUCGAGCGGAAACGGCAGUAUUGAAGCUUCGGUGGAUUUACUGGACGUCGAGCGGCGGACGGGUGAGUAACGGCUGGGAACCUGCCCUGACGAGGGGGAUAACCGUUGGAAACGACGGCUAAUACCGCAUAAUGUCUUNANUUCNNUUANGAGYYNNGGACCAAAGGUGGCCUCUACAUGUAAGCUAUCGCGUUGGGAUGGGCCCAGUUAGGAUUAGCUAGUUGGUAAGGUAAUGGCUUACCAAGGCAACGAUCCUUAGCUGGUUUGAGAGGAUGAUCAGCCACACUGGGACUGAGACACGGCCCAGACUCCUACGGGAGGCAGCAGUGGGGAAUAUUGCACAAUGGGGGAGACCCUGAUGCAGCCAUGCCGCGUGUGUGAAGAAGGCCUUCGGGUUGUAAAGCACUUUCAGCAGUGAGGAAGGUCGUGUACUUAAUACGUGCACGGCUUGACGUUAGCUGCAGAAGAAGCACCGGCUAACUCCGUGCCAGCAGCCGCGGUAAUACGGAGGGUGCGAGCGUUAAUCGGAAUUACUGGGCGUAAAGCGCAUGCAGGCGGUUUGUUAAGUCAGAUGUGAAAGCCCGGGGCUCAACCUCGGAACCGCAUUUGAAACUGGCAGGCUAGAGUCUUGUAGAGGGGGGUAGAAUUUCAGGUGUAGCGGUGAAAUGCGUAGAGAUCUGAAGGAAUACCAGUGGCGAAGGCGGCCCCCUGGACAAAGACUGACGCUCAGAUGCGAAAGCGUGGGUAGCAAACAGGAUUAGAUACCCUGGUAGUCCACGCCGUAAACGCUGUCUACUUGGAGGUUGAGGUUUUAGACUUUGGCUUUCGGCGCUAACGCAUUAAGUAGACCGCCUGGGGAGUACGGCCGCAAGGUUAAAACUCAAAUGAAUUGACGGGGGCCCGCACAAGCGGUGGAGCAUGUGGUUUAAUUCGAUGCAACGCGAAGAACCUUACCUACUCUUGACAUCCAGCGAAGCCUUUAGAGAUAGAGGYGUGCCUUCGGGAGCGCUGAGACAGGUGCUGCAUGGCUGUCGUCAGCUCGUGUUGUGAAAUGUUGGGUUAAGUCCCGCAACGAGCGCAACCCUUAUCCUUGUUUGCCAGCACNNUAAUGGUGGGAACUCCAGGGAGACUGCCGGUGAUAAACCGGAGGAAGGUGGGGACGACGUCAAGUCAUCAUGGCCCUUACGAGUAGGGCUACACACGUGCUACAAUGGCAGAUACAGAGGGCAGCGAGACAGCGAUGUUUAGCGAAUCCCUUAAAGUUUGUCGUAGUCCGGAUUGGAGUCUGCAACUCGACUCCAUGAAGUCGGAAUCGCUAGUAAUCGUGGAUCAGAAUGCCACGGUGAAUACGUUCCCGGGCCUUGUACACACCGCCCGUCACACCAUGGGAGUGGGCUGCACCAGAAGUAGAUAGCUUAACCUUCGGGAGGGCGUUUACCACGGUGUGGUUCAUGACUGGGGUGAAGUCGUAACAAGGUAGCCCUAGGGGAACCUGGGGCUG
This 1554-nucleotide ribosomal RNA is filed under the name Salinivibrio costicola subsp. costicola ATCC 33508 = LMG 11651. RNAcentral describes it as "bacterial SSU rRNA". It matches the Rfam family "Bacterial small subunit ribosomal RNA". Lineage: Bacteria; Pseudomonadati; Pseudomonadota; Gammaproteobacteria; Vibrionales; Vibrionaceae. The record is from RNAcentral.